RNAcentral lists this ribosomal RNA (253 nucleotides) under uncultured bacterium. RNAcentral's name for it is "partial 16S ribosomal RNA". It matches the Rfam family "Bacterial small subunit ribosomal RNA", at positions 524 to 776 of the family's 1533-position model. The record is from RNAcentral.
UACGUAGGUGGCGAGCGUUGUCCGGAUUUAUUGGGCGUAAAGCGCGCGCAGGUGGUGCGGUAAGUCUGCCGUGAAAUCUCCCGGCUCAACUGGGAGGGGGCGGUGGAGACUGCCGGACUGGAGGGACUCAGAGGCCGGUGGAAUUCCCGGUGUAGUGGUGAAAUGCGUAGAGAUCGGGAGGAACACCAGUGGCGAAGGCGGCCGGCUGGGGGUACCCUGACGCUGAGGCGCGAAAGCGUGGGGAGCGAACCGG